RNAcentral lists this unclassified non-coding RNA (218 nucleotides) under Hevea brasiliensis (rubber tree). Lineage: Eukaryota; Viridiplantae; Streptophyta; Magnoliopsida; Malpighiales; Euphorbiaceae. The record is from RNAcentral.
CUCUCUCUCUCUCUCUCUCUUGGGUUUGAUAGAAGUUCUUUGGAGGUUUGUGUUAUGUUAUAUACAUGAGUGGAGGAACAAAGGUUGGCUCUGGCUCUGGCUCUGCCUUGGUUUCUUCAAGGAAAAAGAAAGAGACGCUUUUUGCUGGCCGAAGUAUCUUUAGAAAUUCCAACUGGACAUUUCUUUUUGUUAUAAUCAGCUCCAAGUUUUAGAAACAA